Molecule: unclassified non-coding RNA, 358 nt
Filed under: Basidiomycota sp.
Lineage: Eukaryota; Fungi; Basidiomycota
Description: partial contains small subunit ribosomal RNA, internal transcribed spacer 1, and 5.8S ribosomal RNA
Rfam family: Eukaryotic small subunit ribosomal RNA (bases 1-47)
Source: RNAcentral
AAAGUCGUAACAAGGUUUCCGUAGGUGAACCUGCGGAAGGAUCAUUAAUUAACACGUAUCCAACAUCCGCUCGUAACCCAUCUUGUGUCGGGAUGUCAGUCGGAACAACUGGAUCUGGGGAGUUGGGCGGUUUGGGGAGAACCUUGCGAAAGGUUUGGAAGGCGGGGACCAUUCCUGGUUGCGAUAUAAACGUGGUCUCCACGCGACUUGUAGUACCCGUUGUCCGGAACCGUACACUUGCCGCCACGAUUUGGGCUGCGCUGCUUGUUUUCCUUAACCAAAAGCACCCGCUCGGGGCCUGAGAACCUCCAGAGCUGGAAUACCCGAACAACUGUUAACAAUGGAUAUCUUGGCUCUC